UACGUAGGGUGCGAGCGUUAAUCGGAAUUACUGGGCGUAAAGCGUGCGCAGGCGGUGAUGUAAGACAGGCGUGAAAUCCCCGGGCUUAACCUGGGAACUGCAUUUGUGACUGCAUCGCUGGAGUGCGGCAGAGGGGGAUGGAAUUCCGCGUGUAGCAGUGAAAUGCGUAGAUAUGCGGAGGAACACCGGUGGCGAAGGCAAUCCCCUGGGCCUGCACUGACGCUCAUGCACGAAAGCGUGGGGAGCAAACAGG
Molecule: ribosomal RNA, 253 nt
Filed under: uncultured bacterium
Lineage: Bacteria
Description: partial 16S ribosomal RNA
Rfam family: Bacterial small subunit ribosomal RNA
Source: RNAcentral